GAGGGUAGAGCUCAAUGAUAGAGCAUUUGCUUAGCAUGCACAAAAGUCCUGGGUUCAGUCCCCAGUACCUCCA
This is a transfer RNA of Camelus ferus (Wild Bactrian camel), 73 nucleotides long. It matches the Rfam family "tRNA". Rfam says of the family: Transfer RNA (tRNA) molecules are approximately 80 nucleotides in length. Their secondary structure includes four short double-helical elements and three loops (D, anti-codon, and T loops). The record is from Rfam. NCBI's taxonomy places the organism in Eukaryota, Metazoa, Chordata, Mammalia, Artiodactyla, Camelidae.